Molecule: long non-coding RNA, 1947 nt
Organism: Neofelis nebulosa (Clouded leopard)
Lineage: Eukaryota; Metazoa; Chordata; Mammalia; Carnivora; Felidae
Exons: 2
Source: RefSeq, a predicted model, not a curated record
GCCAGAUAUCCGGGAUAACAGCAGCCCUCUUUCGGAGUGAAGAGCCCAAGAGGGGCUUAGCUCAAGAUACACGGUUCUGGGAAGAGAAGGUCCCAGGGCUGCUUGCAUCCGGGUGCACGUGUGCCCAAUGUGCAGAGGACUCAAGAUCCGAUUCAAGAACCAGAGACGGGCUGUCACCUGGCCCCUGUGGACCCAGAGCCUCCUCCCUCCCUCCAGCCCCUGCAGACUUGCUCAGGGUGGUAACUGCGUGUCCCCGCUUGGGCUAAGGUGUUAGGUGAAGAGUCCUUCCCUCGCGAAGGACACCGUUUCCUAACUGGAACCUUUACAAAGCUGACAUUUGGCAAGAAAGUCAUUUCUCACGAAAACGGUCACCCAUUCCAGUUCAUUGAAGCGAAAAUGCGACUCAUGUUUUACUUUUAUUUUUAGUUAGAUUUCAUUUUUUGAAUAGGUUAGUCUUCGUACAUCAUCAUUUUGGGCCCCUAGGAUCGUGAACCUUGGGACAGAAGGGCACUCACAUACGGCUAAGUGGGGAGACCCAGGAGAGUCUCUGUCCAGCACCGUGCGGGGUCCUCACGCAGGACAUCCCCACCGGGCUCUCCACGGGUCACCCCGGGUCAUCCUCAUUUGCCUCUUCCCUCCAGAACCAUCCUGCACAGCCCUGACACACACAUCACCUCCUCCCAAAGUGCUUUCAAAGGCCCUUGAUUGUUUGAAAUCACAUCUUUUCUGGCUUUCACAGCCUCCCUCCCUGGUCCUGUUUACCUAAGUACAUUUCCCACCACUUCCUGGUGCCACAUCCCAUUCCUGUGGGGUGUCUCGUGUCUGACGUCCUUCACGUCACGUCCACGCGCACUCCUGACUCGGGCCACGCUGCACUUCCUUCCGAGUGCCCAGGCUCAGCAGCACAUGCAUCGUGCAGAUCGUACCCCUUCCCGAGUCCUCCUGGGUCUGAGAUGCCUGCAGGCGUGACGCUCCCCACUCCGUCCCGAUAUGCCACCCCUGGCUGCACCUUGAGAGCGGGGACUUUGCUCUAUGCCCGUCGGUGCCUCACCGCACCCCGUAAAGGUCCGGACACACACUAACUGUUCCAGAAAAGCUAUUGGCUUUAAAUCCGCGGAGGGGGGUGAGGGCACUCUCCUGGCCCAGCUCUCUGGGUCCCGCUGCCUGGCCCUUCACUGUGUGGUCUCCUCCCACGUGGGAAGUGUGAGAAGCAGGCGACAGCACCGUCAGAUGGAAGAGGAGAGCUUCCUGACACGACAGUAGCUCCGCACGGGGACUCGCGGUGUUUCGCCGACAGUGGUGGAAAUCCAAAGACGCGGAUUCCACUGGAACGCCGCAAGGCUCCCUGUCGCGCUUUCCCUCAGUACAGGGUGAGCAAGCUCCAGACACCCGCUCUUGCUUCAGGAUGCUGUGGGGGACACGAGGACGGGCAGGCUCUGUGUUUCUAGUCGGCACCGGCAGAGUGGGGCUGCCCGGAUGAGGGUCAGAGAGGGUCCACCUUCUCUCCAGACCAGGCAUGUUGUCCCGCUCGUCUGUUCUCGGAGAAGAUUGUUGGGAGCCACAGAUACAUCUGUCUCUUCUUGAAACAGGCCACUGUCCCGUUUGCCACGGAGACACAAAAGCCAGAAGCAAGAUUUCAUCACUGCUGGAGUCUCCCUUGCACACCUUUCUGGAUCUUUAAGGAUUCUUCUAAACGUGCCAAGGACUCCAUGGUGGCAUCCCCAUUCCGUGUCUGGUUCUGGCAGAAGACUGAACUGAACACUAACACAGCCAGGCUCGGUCCCCUUAGGUCACAGCUGUGGUCAUCCCCUGGCCCGGGGGGUACUGACUCCUCUGUUUGCACAUUUUUUCAUGUUGUUUUAAGACACGGAAUGCAAACGCGGCCACCAUGUUAUGAUCAAGUUUUAAUGUACCAUAGAAAACAAUGUUUUUGUUAAGUUUUUUUAA